UCAAGCUAAUAAGAGCACAGGGCGGAUGCCUUGGCACUAAGAGCCGAUGAAAGACGUGAUAAGCUGCGAAAAGCUGUGGUGAGGAGCAAAUAUCCAUUGACCCACAGAUAUCUGAAUGGGGAAACCCGGCUGGAAAAACUCCAGUCACUGUAUGGUGAAUACAUAGCCAUGCAGGGGGAACUCGGGGAACUGAAACAUCUAAGUACCCGAAGGAAGAGAAAGAAACAUCGAUUCCCGAAGUAGCGGCGAGCGAAACGGGAAGAGCCCAAACCAGAGUGCGUGCACUCUGGGGUUCGGACCGCCAUAACGGUUAUGGAAGAUAGGAGAACAGUUUUGGAAAAGCUGGCAAGAAAGAGUGAAAGCCUCGUAUCCGAAAUUGGAAGUAACUAGGCGGUAUCCAGAGUACCACGAGACACGUGGAACCUUGUGGGAAUAUGGAGGGACCACCCUCUAAGGCUAAAUACUACUUAGUGACCGAUAGCGCAUAGUACUGUGAAGGAAAGGUGAAAAGAACCCCGGGAGGGGAGUGAAAGAGAACCUGAAACCCUGUGUUUACAAGCUGUGGAACAACUAUUAACAGUUGGACCGCGUACUUUUUGUAGAACGGUCCGGCGAGUUGCGGUGUCUGGCAGGUUAAGAACUUAAGGUUCGGAGCCAUAGGGAAACCAAGUCUUAAUAGGGCGAAGGUCAGACAGUGCAGACCCGAAACCGGGUGACCUACCCAUGUCCAGGUUGAAGCCGCCGUAAAAGGCGAUGGAGGACCGAACACACAUCCGUUGAAAAGGGUGGUGAUGAGGUGUGGGUAGCGGAGAAAUUCCAAUCGAACCCGGAGAUAGCUGGUUCUCCUCGAAAUAGCUUUAGGGCUAGCCUUUAUCAAGUCUUGCGGAGGUAGAGCACUGAAUCGCCUAGGGGGCGUCAAAGCUUACCGAAGUGUAUCAAACUCCGAAUGCCGUAAAGAUGAUGAUAGGGAGUCAGACUAUACGAGAUAAGUUGGAUAGUCAAAAGGGAAAGAGCCCAGACCACCAGCUAAGGUCCCAAAGUACAUGUUAAGUGGAAAAGGAUGUGGGAUUUCAAAGACAACCAGGAUGUUGGCUUAGAAGCAGCCAUACAUUAAAAGAGUGCGUAAUAGCUCACUGGUCGAGAGGUCCUGCGCCGAAAAUGUCCGGGGCUAAAACAUGACACCGAAGCUGUGGAAUUACUUUAGUAAUUGGUAGAGGAGCAUUGCUACCGCAUCGAAGCGAUACCGGAAGGAGUCGUGGAGUGGUAGGAAGAGAGAAUGCCGGAAUGAGUAGCGAGAUAGAAGUGAGAAUCUUCUAGGCCGAAUAUCCAAGGUUUCCAGAGUAAAGCUGAUCUGCUCUGGGGAAGUCGGGACCUAAGGCGAGGACGAAAGUCGUAGUCGAUGGACAACAGGUUGAUAUUCCUGUACCACAUGAUAUCAGAACUGUGGGGACGCAAAGAGAGAAUGGAAGAGCCGGGAAUGGAAAAACCGGUGCAAGUAAGGUAUCCGUCAUGUAGGCAAAUCCGCAUGGCAAGGAGAAUUUACGACGCGGAGUGAACAUAAGUAACGAAGCUUCCUAUCUAGUUGCCGAGAAAAGCCGCUAUUGUGUAUCAUGUGCCCGUACCGUAAACCGACACAGGUGGAUGAGGAGAGAAUCCUAAGGCCGGCGGGAGAAGUGUUGUUAAGGAACUCGGCAAAAUGACCCCGUAACUUCGGGAGAAGGGGUGCCUCGAAAGAGGCCGCAGAGAAUUGGCCCAAGCAACUGUUUAGCAAAAACACAGGUCUAUGCAAAACCGCAAGGUGAAGUAUAUGGGCUGACGCCUGCCCGGUGCUGGAAGGUUAAGGGGAGUGCUUAGCGUAAGCGAAGGUGCGAACUUAAGCCCCAGUAAACGGCGGCCGUAACUAUAACGGUCCUAAGGUAGCGAAAUUCCUUGUCGGGUAAGUUCCGACCCGCACGAAAGGCGUAAUGAUUUGGGCACUGUCUCAACAACACACCCG
This 1996-nucleotide ribosomal RNA is filed under the name metagenome. RNAcentral's name for it is "bacterial LSU rRNA". It matches the Rfam family "Bacterial large subunit ribosomal RNA", at positions 3 to 2035 of the family's 2925-position model. The record is from RNAcentral.